AUUUCAUCUCAGAAGGAAAGGUCAGAGCAUUUCUUUAGGGGAAACAAGGAGAGAGAAAGCUAGAGAGGGAAAACUUCAGCAACUUGCUCAAGACCACCGAUCAUCCCUUUCGAUGGUGCUUCCAAUUCUUCGUGUCUGAGAUUGUGGAAGACGAUUUUCAGAUCGUCACAUUCAUCAGGAGUGGUGAUUUCGGCGUUUUGAUUUUGACCUGAGAAAGGAAAAAAAAAAGGGAGAGAACUGGCUUAAUUUAUAUAUGCCGAUGAAAGGAAAACUGCUGCGGAAGUCUGAAGAUACUUUGAAUGCUUACAAAGCUGCUCAGGCUCACCAAAAUAAAUGCUGAUGCACACAUCACGGCUCAAUAUGUGGGUCUUGGUGCGGUUGCUCGAGAUGAACACGGGGAGCUGCUGUGGGCUGUUGUUCGAAGGGUGCCUGCGGGAUUAGAGGUGGAGGCAGCAGAAGCUGAAGCGGUGCGCUUUGGAAUGCAAAUUGCACAUAGGUUGGGCAUCUUGAACAUCUGGAUUGAGACUCUGCUAAGAACAAACUUGUUCUUCAUCAUAUUAUUUUGGGUUUUAUCUUUUUCUGGAAAAUUUCUCACCGGAAAGAAAUGGAGGGUGAAAAAUAAUUUCGAGAUUAUGGGGUGUUUUGAUUCAAUUUGUCUGCUAGAGGUUUUCAUUACUUGGGGACUAUCGAUUUUGCUGCUAGAUGGUCAAGAUGCAAGUGAAUCAGUUUCAGGGGAUAAAACGAAGGAUGUGGCUCCAAACCAUGCUGCUUCUUCAGGGAAAGGUCCUAUCCUUGAUGUGGUAAUCCUUCUUAACUCGCAACUAUACUUGCUAUGAUGUGUGCUACUUGGUUCUACAGGAACAACUUCAUCUUUGAAAACAUAAUAUUGAACAUAGUGUAUACAACUAUGGGAUUUGUAAAAUGUAUGGCCGUUAUACACACAAAAUAUUCGUUAGAACUGCAGCUCAUGACUACCCUUCUGCAUCAAGUUGGAUUUCCCUCUCCCCCCAUCCUCUCUGAAGGUAUUAUCAUGUUGAAUGUCGACGCUAAUUUGAUCUCUAGGUCACAUGUUGGGUUGGGGAUCGCUGUAAAAAACGAGCUUGCAAUUGGGCAGUGUUUGCUUACUUUAGUUAAGAGGUAUGAAGGGCUGUGGGAAGUAGAACAAACAACACACUUUUCCUUAAACCACUUUUAAUGGUUUUCUCUUAUAUAUCAACUUUAACUUUAUAAAGUUUGCCUCUGAAUUAUUUUUUCAACAGAUUUGGUUUCAUGUUUUAAUUUAGGGAAAAUAUGGAACACAGCUAACCUACUUCUGUACUGAAACCCGCUAAGGUUAAUUCUAAGGUAGCAACUGCAGGUAUGCAGCUCAUUGCAUGAAGCAUAUAGCGAUGACAAUUAUGACUUCAAAUGCAACAGAUCGCUUUUCUUUAUCUUCUUGUUCAGGCAAAACAAAAUGUGAGCUUCACAAGUGUUUACAAAUAUAUAGUACGGAGUAAUAAUAUUGAGCUUUGUAGCUUUUUGGCUUGUUAUUUUACACAUUUUUAGAUCCAUUUUUUACAUCGAGAAUUUUCUUAGUAGGCCCGAAAUUCUAUACUUUGUAAAUUAUCUUCUAAUUAUGUGUUUGAUAUAGCUUGAUUUAAUUCUUGUCAAACUGGGCAUUUAAUAUGUUCUUUAAGAUACAUGUAUAAUCUAAGAAUAUGAUCAAUUUGUUUUGUUCUGGAUUAUUUGGAGUGGAAGUUGUUGCAUUUCAAAUUGUUAGCUGGUUGUA
Molecule: RNA transcript, 1768 nt
Organism: Chenopodium quinoa (quinoa)
Lineage: Eukaryota; Viridiplantae; Streptophyta; Magnoliopsida; Caryophyllales; Amaranthaceae
Exons: 8
Source: RefSeq, a predicted model, not a curated record